RNAcentral lists this ribosomal RNA (253 nucleotides) under uncultured bacterium. RNAcentral's name for it is "partial 16S ribosomal RNA". It matches the Rfam family "Bacterial small subunit ribosomal RNA", at positions 524 to 776 of the family's 1533-position model. The record is from RNAcentral.
UACGGAGGUGGCAAGCGUUGUCCGGAAUUAUUGGGCGUAAAGCGCACGUAGGCGGAUUGUUAAGUCAGGGGUGAAAUCCCGGGGCUCAACCCCGGAACUGCCUUUGAUACUGAUAGUCUCGAGUCCGGAAGAGGUGAGUGGAAUUCCGAGUGUAGAGGUGAAAUUCGUAGAUAUUCGGAGGAACACCAGUGGCGAAGGCGGCUCACUGGUCCGGUACUGACGCUGAGGUGCGAAAGCGUGGGGAGCAAACAGG